This 380-nucleotide ribosomal RNA is filed under the name uncultured eukaryote. RNAcentral describes it as "partial 18S ribosomal RNA". It matches the Rfam family "Eukaryotic small subunit ribosomal RNA", at positions 592 to 976 of the family's 1831-position model. The record is from RNAcentral.
CAAUAGCGUAUAUUAAAGUUGUUGCAGUUAAAAAGCUCGUAGUUGGAUUUGUGGCGUACGGUGUGUUCCGGGCACUUGUUGUCUGAGUAACCUGCUGUUGCCAUCCUUGGGUGGAACCUGUGUGGCAUUAGGUUGUCGUGCAGGGGAUGCCCAUCAUUUACUGUGAAAAAAUUAGAGUGUUCAAAGCAGGCUUAUGCCGUUGAAUAUAUUAGCAUGGAAUAAUGAGAUAGGACUUUUUUGCUAUUUUGUCGGUUUGCGCAAAGAGGUAAUGAUUAAUAGGGACAGUUGGGGGUAUUCGUAUUCCAUAGUCAGAGGUGAAAUUCUUGGAUUUUUGGAAGACGAACUACUGCGAAAGCAUUUACCAAGGAUGUUUUCAUUAA